RNAcentral lists this ribosomal RNA (441 nucleotides) under uncultured bacterium. RNAcentral describes it as "bacterial SSU rRNA". It matches the Rfam family "Bacterial small subunit ribosomal RNA", at positions 958 to 1392 of the family's 1533-position model. The record is from RNAcentral.
AACGCGAAGAACCUUACCAGGUCUUGACAUCCCUUGACCGCCCUAGAAAUAGGGUUUUCAGUCCUUAGGGACUGACAAGGAGACGGGUGGUGCAUGGUUGUCGUCAGCUCGUGUCGUGAGAUGUUGGGUUAAGUCCCGCAACGAGCGCAACCCUUGCCUUUAGUUGCCAGCACGAUAAGGUGGGCACUCUAAAGGGACUGCCGGUGACAAACCGGAGGAAGGUGGGGAUGACGUCAAAUCAUCAUGCCCCUUAUGACCUGGGCUACACACGUGCUACAAUGGCCUGUACAGAGGGAAGCGAAGCCGCGAGGCGGAGCAAAUCCCGAAAAGCAGGUCUCAGUUCGGAUUGCAGGCUGCAACUCGCCUGCAUGAAGGCGGAAUCGCUAGUAAUCGCGGAUCAGCAUGCCGCGGUGAAUACGUUCCCGGGCCUUGUACACACCG